Molecule: long non-coding RNA, 1127 nt
Filed under: Vigna radiata
Lineage: Eukaryota; Viridiplantae; Streptophyta; Magnoliopsida; Fabales; Fabaceae
Description: long non-coding RNA (VRAD_LNC001127)
Source: RNAcentral
UUCAAAGGGACAAAACAAAGUGAAGAGAACCUAAAACCACCCAGCUUUUAAGAGGCUCGAGUUUGGUUCUCGCCGCCACUGCCCGGCGGCAAAGUUAUACCGCCCGGCGGUGAGUGGAAAUUUCCUUAUCACUUUUCUUGCUUGCCUUUCUGCGAUUUCUCCCGGUAACUCCUGAUCUUUGCCCUAAAUUUUUCAAUUUCAAGAUUUUCCUCACUCAAAUGCACAUGCACACCUAAAAUGUAUUAAGAUAGAAUUUGGAAAACAAAUAACAAACACAGAAAUUCAAAUUGCUUUACAACAAUUGGGAUAGCCCCUAUAAACACCCAUCAAUAGGUGUUACAUUUCUUCUUGCUUGGUAUUUUCUUCUUCUUCUUCUUUAUGCUAAAUCUCUUCAAAAAGUUGAUCGAACCAAGCACAUGUUUCCAAGCAUUAAUCAUAGGAGCCUUAAUCUCCAAUUUCUUGAAGAUCUCCAUGAAGUACUUGAACCUAUUUUCCUUCCCAUGAUUUUUCUUUUUAUGAGGAAGGGGUUUUUCAUAUGACUUUGUCUUCUUUCCUCACUUCCUCUUUUUCUUAAUUUUCUCCUCCCUUAGCUUUCUAUUUUUAUUUUUCUUUUCUUUCUUUAUUUUCACAGUUUUUCACUUUUUUUCUUUUCUUUCAAUGAAUGUUUUUCCUUUCUUAUCAUCCUUCUUACUCUCACUCAACUUUUGUGUUUCUAUCUCCUCUAUCUUUUCCGCAACAACAACUUUUACUGUUUUUAUUCCCCUUUUCAUUUCUUCUUUUAUUUUCUCCUCAUAUAUCUCUAUCUCUUCUUCUUCUAUCUUUUCCUCCUCGAAAACAUUAUCAUUUUUAGAGAUAGUGGCUUGAUAUUCUUCUUUAGGGUUAACUUUAGUAUUAUCCCUAAUAAUUCCCAAAGACUUCAAUACCUUUGUUAUCUCAUCUUCCUUUAUCUUCUCUUCAUCAAUAACCUUGUCAACCUCAAAGAUAGUGGCUUGACAUUCUUCUUUAGGGUUAACUUCUGUAUUAACCCUAAUAAUACCUAGAGACUUCAACGCACAAGAGUGUUGUUCCUGCAAUAAACGUUCUUUAGGUUCCCCCAACGUUUCUUUUCGUGAAGAGGAAUGAUGCCC